GAUCCUGGCUCAGAAUCAACGCUGGCGGCGUGCCUAACACAUGCAAGUCGAACGAGAAAGUGGAGCAAUCCAUGAGUAAAGUGGCGACCGGGUGAGUAACACGUGACUAACCUACCUUCGAGUGGGGGAUAACCUCGGGAAACCGAGGCUAAUACCGCAUAACAUCGCAAGAUCAAAGCAGCAAUGCGCUGGAAGAGGGGGUCGCGGCUGAUUAGCUAGUUGGCGGGGUAACGGCCCACCAAGGCGAAGAUCGGUAUCCGGCCUGAGAGGGCGCACGGACACACUGGAACUGAAACACGGUCCAGACUCCUACGGGAGGCA
This 321-nucleotide ribosomal RNA is filed under the name uncultured Acidobacteriota bacterium. RNAcentral's name for it is "bacterial SSU rRNA". It matches the Rfam family "Bacterial small subunit ribosomal RNA", at positions 15 to 350 of the family's 1533-position model. Lineage: Bacteria; Pseudomonadati; Acidobacteriota. The record is from RNAcentral.